GGGAUUAGAUUAGAGACACUUGUUUAAAAACCUCGUGGUUCUUUGGUGGAUAGGAAUAUGACACGUGUAUGGUUAUUAUCUGACACAGUCUUUCACCUUUAAAUGGAUAAAAAAGGACAAUUAGUGUAAUGAUCAAUCAAACAAAUGAAGAAAAUGGUUAAUAAUAAGCCAGGUGGUUUAGUUCCUUGUACUAGCACUUCAUGCG
Long non-coding RNA from Arabidopsis thaliana (thale cress), 205 nucleotides. RefSeq annotates it as other RNA. The record is from RefSeq. NCBI's taxonomy places the organism in Eukaryota, Viridiplantae, Streptophyta, Magnoliopsida, Brassicales, Brassicaceae. The transcript has 2 exons.